This 501-nucleotide ribosomal RNA is filed under the name uncultured bacterium. Its description in RNAcentral is "partial 16S ribosomal RNA". It matches the Rfam family "Bacterial small subunit ribosomal RNA", at positions 30 to 523 of the family's 1533-position model. The record is from RNAcentral.
AUUGAACGCUGGCGGCAUGCCUUACACAUGCAAGUCGAACGGCAGCACGGGAGCUUGCUCCUGGUGGCGAGUGGCGAACGGGUGAGUAAUACAUCGGAACGUACCCAGGAGUGGGGGAUAACGUAGCGAAAGUUACGCUAAUACCGCAUAUUCUGUGAGCAGGAAAGCGGGGGAUCGCAAGACCUCACGCUCUUGGAGCGGCCGAUGUCGGAUUAGCUAGUUGGUGAGGUAAAAGCUCACCAAGGCGACGAUCCGUAGCAGGUCUGAGAGGAUGAUCUGCCACACUGGGACUGAGACACGGCCCAGACUCCUACGGGAGGCAGCGGUGGGGAAUUUUGGACAAUGGGGCAACCCUGAUCCAGCCAUGCCGCGUGAGUGAAGAAGGCCUUCGGGUUGUAAAGCUCUUUCGGCGGGGAAGAAAUGGCAACGGCUAAUAUCCGUUGUUGAUGACGGUACCCGCAUAAGAAGCACCGGCUAACUACGUGCCAGCCGCCGCGGUAA